UACGGAGGGUCCGAGCGUUAUCCGGAUUUACUGGGUUUAAAGGGUACGUAGGCGGCCUUGUAAGUCAGUGGUGAAAUCCUACAGCUCAACUGUAGAACUGCCAUUGAUACUGCGAGGCUUGAGUACAGUUGGAGUGAGCGGAAUGUAUCAUGUAGCGGUGAAAUGCAUAGAUAUGAUACGGAACACCGAUCGCGAAAGCAGCUCACUAAGCUGUCACUGACGCUGAGGUACGAAAGCGUGGGUAGCAAACAGG
Molecule: unclassified non-coding RNA, 253 nt
Filed under: uncultured Lentimicrobiaceae bacterium
Lineage: Bacteria; Pseudomonadati; Bacteroidota; Bacteroidia; Bacteroidales; Lentimicrobiaceae
Description: contains 16S-23S intergenic spacer region
Rfam family: Bacterial small subunit ribosomal RNA
Source: RNAcentral